RNAcentral lists this ribosomal RNA (505 nucleotides) under uncultured bacterium. RNAcentral describes it as "partial 16S ribosomal RNA". It matches the Rfam family "Bacterial small subunit ribosomal RNA", at positions 28 to 507 of the family's 1533-position model. The record is from RNAcentral.
GACGAACGCUGGCGGCGUGCCUAAUACAUGCAAGUAGAACGCACAGUUUAUACCGUAGCUUGCUACACCAUAGACUGUGAGUUGCGAACGGGUGAGUAACGCGUAGGUAACCUGCCUGGUAGCGGGGGAUAACUAUUGGAAACGAUAGCUAAUACCGCAUAAUAUUAAUUAUUGCAUGAUAAUUAAUUGAAAGGUGCAAUUGCACCACUACCAGAUGGACCUGCGUUGUAUUAGCUAGUAGGUGAGGUAACGGCUCACCUAGGCGACGAUACAUAGCCGACCUGAGAGGGUGAUCGGCCACACUGGGACUGAGACACGGCCCAGACUCCUACGGGAGGCAGCAGUAGGGAAUCCUCGGCAAUGGACGAAAGUCUGACCGAGCAACGCCGCGUGAGUGAAGAAGGUUUUCGGAUCGUAAAGCUCUGUUGUAAGAGAAGAACGGGUGUGAGAGUGGAAAGUUCGCACUGUGACGGUAUCUUACCAGAAAGAGACGGCUAACUACGUG